RNAcentral lists this transfer RNA (96 nucleotides) under Burkholderiales bacterium. RNAcentral's name for it is "tRNA-Sec". It matches the Rfam family "Selenocysteine transfer RNA". Lineage: Bacteria; Pseudomonadati; Pseudomonadota; Betaproteobacteria; Burkholderiales. The record is from RNAcentral.
GGAAGGAAAUCACGGCCGGUGCCGUGGCCGGGCUUCAAACCCGGUUGGGGUUGUCAGUCAAUCCCGGGUGGGUUCGACUCCCACUUUCUUCCGCCA